This 1572-nucleotide long non-coding RNA is filed under the name Homo sapiens (human). Its description in RNAcentral is "HSALNT0309734". The record is from RNAcentral. Lineage: Eukaryota; Metazoa; Chordata; Mammalia; Primates; Hominidae.
GAGAGACGACACCUACCAGCUGGAAGGCGGUUCCGCACCAGACACCGAAGCUGCUGGGCCUUCGACCUCGGACCUCCGUCUUCCAGAACUGUGAGCCACACAUUCCUGAUGCUCCUAAGCCACGCCGUGUACGGUAUUUUGUUACGGUAGCCCAAAUGGACCAAGAUAGGAGCUAAAGGUGCUUGUGAGAUUCCACGCAUCAUACUAGAGGUGUGAGCACUGCACCUAAGGGUGCCUCGGAUCAUCCCUGAGAUGCAGGCACUGCACCAGGAGGUGUCUUGGAUCAUUCCUGAGGUGUGAGCACAUCAUCAGAAGACCCUUUUGUCCAUGGGGUCCCAUUCUCACCUUCUGGAUACACAUCACUCUCGGGGCCGCCAUUCUACCUGCCUCAUCUGUGCGCGGCAGUCUGGACCUAGAAGCUCUGUCCCCUCUGCUGCCCAGUGGAGUCGAGUGCCUGGCACCCAACACCCAGACAGGGUGGCCACCAACCUGGUUGAGGGGACUGUCCCCAAGAUGAUCACAGAACAUCAGGCAGGGCUCCUGAGCCAGCGCCCCCCCCAAGCCUGCCUCGCUCCCAGUACGGCCGGAAGAGUAGCUGAGGCCAACCCCUGAAGCAGCCAAGGCGUCCUCUAUGCCCAGAAGUGCCAGGGAUCGGGGGCUGCCCAGUUCCAGACAGGGUCAUCACACUCCGACCUUCAGAGGGGCCCCCCGCCUGCCAGCUCCAGACAGGGCCAUCACACUCCCGAUCCACAGAGGGCCCCCCCACGCCUCCCAGCUCCUGACGGAAGCGCCUGUCCAGCUUCACCGACCUCCAUGCCGCUGCCUGGGGUCUUGCUCGAACGCAAGAGAACACGGGUCUCGUUGAGGGCUCCUCUGCCCCGCAUCUCCUGCUCCUGGACACCCAGGCCUGCCCUCACCACUGCUGCUGGACACCGGGCAGGGGUCCUGGCCACUCUUCUGGAAGGCCAGUCUGACGUUGCAGGCGCAGCCACUUCACUGUUUGUCCUUCACGGUAUGCCAGACUCCCUCCUCCCUGCAAGAGCCUCUCCCAGGGCCCAGUCCUCCCCCGAGAGGUGCUGAUGAGAGUGGAGUAUGGAACCAUCUGCCAGCCAACCCCAGGUGGCCUCUCGGGGGUGCCCUGCCCCACAGGGCCAUGCACGGUGUGGCCCUCCCCGGUGCUGUCACGUCUGAAUGUGGCCCUGCAGACUUGCCCCCACUGGGCUGGAGCACAUCCCCUGGAAUCUGAUCCCAGGAGCUCCGGGAGCAGCUCGCACACAGCUCCAUGGAUGCCCCUCACAGUGGGAGAGACAGGAAAGGCCAGCUCCGAGUCUCACACCUCACUCUUCAAGCUGGGAAAAUGAUGCUGUUACCUUGGGAGGUGAGACCCUCCAGAUGGGAACCUCGACGCUGGGAGCUGGUGUGUUCCCGGAAUUCGGGGGAAUAUUUCAUUCCCUGCGUAUGGUGUCUGGACUUUCAGAUCCCUCCUCCCAGGCACCCAGGCAUCAUUUCACAACCCCAUGCUCAGCAAGCCCCAGAGAAAACUCCUCAAUAAACUACGAGUGUUAAUACCCG